This 496-nucleotide ribosomal RNA is filed under the name uncultured bacterium. Its description in RNAcentral is "partial 16S ribosomal RNA". It matches the Rfam family "Bacterial small subunit ribosomal RNA", at positions 29 to 507 of the family's 1533-position model. The record is from RNAcentral.
AUGAACGCUGGCGGCGUGCCUAAUACAUGCAAGUCGAGCGAACGGACGAGAAGCUUGCUUCUCUGAUGUUAGCGGCGGACGGGUGAGUAACACGUGGAUAACCUACCUAUAAGACUGGGAUAACUUCGGGAAACCGUAGCUAAUACCGGAUAAUAUUUUGAACCGCAUGGUUCAAAAGUGAAAGACGGUCUUGCUGUCACUUAUAGAUGGAUCCGCGCUGCAUUAGCUAGUUGGUAAGGUAACGGCUUACCAAGGCAACGAUGCAUAGCCGACCUGAGAGGGUGAUCGGCCACACUGGAACUGAGACACGGUCCAGACUCCUACGGGAGGCAGCAGUAGGGAAUCUUCCGCAAUGGGCGAAAGCCUGACGGAGCAACGCCGCGUGAGUGAUGAAGGUCUUCGGAUCGUAAAACUCUGUUAUUAGGGAAGAACAUAUGUGUAAGUAACUGUGCACAUCUUGACGGUACCUAAUCAGAAAGCCACGGCUAACUGCGUG